CAAUAGCGUAUAUUUAAGUUGUUGCAGUUAAAAAGCUCGUAGUUGGAUUUCGGGUUGGCUUCAGCGGUCUCGCUUUGCGUUUGUACUGCUGCAGCCUACCUUCUUGUCGGGGACGGGCCUUCGGGCUUAAUUGCUUGGGGCCCGGAGUCGACGAUGUUACUUUGAGUAAAUUAGAGUGUUCAAAGCAAGCCUACGCUCUGAAUAUAAUAGCAUGGGAUAACACGACAGGACUCUGGCCUAUCGUGUUGGUCUGUAGGACCAGAGUAAUGAUUAAGAGGGACAGUCGGGGGCAUUCGUAUUCCGUUGUCAGAGGUGAAAUUCUUGGAUUUUUGGAAGACGAACUACUGCGAAAGCAUUUACCAAGGAUGUUUUCAUUAA
Molecule: ribosomal RNA, 378 nt
Filed under: uncultured eukaryote
Lineage: Eukaryota
Description: partial 18S ribosomal RNA
Rfam family: Eukaryotic small subunit ribosomal RNA
Source: RNAcentral